UAAACUUGACUUAUCCGCAAAGCAAAUUGUUUUGGGUUUAAAAUUAAAAACGGUCAACCACUAAAGUAGUUCUUAAUUUGGGAUACAAUAAAUAUAAAAUAACAACAUAAUAUACUUCACUAUGACCUCAGAAAAAAACGCUCAAGUGGGACAAGCUCGUGAAACUUUUCAAAUGCUUUUUCAAAUUUCUCAACUUCUCAGCACCGGUUUGGACGCUGAAACCCUAACUAUAUGUAUUAGGCUUUGUGAAUUAGGAGUGGAUCCUGAAGUGCUAGCUCAUGUCAUCAAAGAAAUAAGAAAAGUGGGCGAAAAUGCAGCCGAGAUCAAACCAUCCAGUUUACAGUCGCAUUAAAUAAUAUCAAAUCUUUAACAUAAGUUUAUUAAGUAUUAUUUACUUUGUCACUAAUUUAUUAAUUAGAAAAACAAAAUGUGCCCUAUUUAUUGUUAUAAUUA
Vanessa tameamea is the source of this 453-nucleotide long non-coding RNA. RefSeq lists it as uncharacterized. The transcript is spliced from 2 exons. The record is from RefSeq and is a predicted model, not a curated record. NCBI's taxonomy places the organism in Eukaryota, Metazoa, Arthropoda, Insecta, Lepidoptera, Nymphalidae.